GCCAUGUUCGUUUGCUUGUCGC
RNAcentral lists this non-coding RNA (22 nucleotides) under Arabidopsis thaliana (thale cress). Lineage: Eukaryota; Viridiplantae; Streptophyta; Magnoliopsida; Brassicales; Brassicaceae. The record is from RNAcentral.